This 490-nucleotide ribosomal RNA is filed under the name uncultured bacterium. Its description in RNAcentral is "partial 16S ribosomal RNA". It matches the Rfam family "Bacterial small subunit ribosomal RNA", at positions 30 to 507 of the family's 1533-position model. The record is from RNAcentral.
AUUGAACGCUGGCGGCAGGCUUAACACAUGCAAGUCGAGCAGUAGCACAGGGGAGCUUGCUCCCUGGGUGACGAGCGGCGGACGGGUGAGUAAUGUCUGGGAAACUGCCUGAUGGAGGGGGAUAACUACUGGAAACGGUAGCUAAUACCGCAUAACGUCGCAAGACCAAAGAGGGGGACCUUCGGGCCUCUUGCCAUCAGAUGUGCCCAGAUGGGAUUAGCUAGUAGGUGGGGUAAUGGCUCACCUAGGCGACGAUCCCUAGCUGGUCUGAGAGGAUGACCAGCCACACUGGAACUGAGACACGGUCCAGACUCCUACGGGAGGCAGCAGUGGGGAAUAUUGCACAAUGGGCGCAAGCCUGAUGCAGCCAUGCCGCGUGUGUGAAGAAGGCCUUCGGGUUGUAAAGCACUUUCAGCGAGGAGGAAGGUGGUGAGCUUAAUACGUUCAUCAAUUGACGUUACUCGCAGAAGAAGCACCGGCUAACUCCGUG